AUUCCUACGGGAGGCAGCAGUAGGGAAUAUUGGACAAUGGGCGAAAGCCUGAUCCAGCAACGCCGCGUGCACGAUGACGGUCUUCGGAUUGUAAAGUGCUUUUAAGGGAGAUGAGAAAGGACAGUAUCCCUUGAAUAAGCCUCGGCGAACUACGUGCCAGCAGCCGCGGUAAAACGUAGGAGGCGAGCGUUAUCCGGAUUUAUUGGGCGUAAAGCGCGUGCAGGCUGUUUGGAAAGUUGGAUGUGAAAUCUCCUGGCUUAACUGGGAGGGGUCGUUCAAAACUACCAAGCUAGAGAAUGGGAGAGGGAAGUGGAAUUCCGGGUGUAGUGGUGAAAUGCGUAGAUAUCCGGAGGAACACCAGUGGCGAAAGCGGCUUCCUAGACCAUUUCUGACGCUCAGACGCGAAAGCUAGGGGAGCGAACGGGAUUAGAGACCCCGGUAGUCCUAGCUGUAAACGAUGUAGACUUGGCGUUGGCGGAGUUAAAUCUGCCAGUGCCGGAGCUAACGCGUUAAGUGAUCCGCCUGGGGAUUACGGUCGCAAGACUAAAACUCAAAUGAAUUGACGGAAU
RNAcentral lists this ribosomal RNA (569 nucleotides) under uncultured bacterium. RNAcentral describes it as "bacterial SSU rRNA". It matches the Rfam family "Bacterial small subunit ribosomal RNA", at positions 335 to 919 of the family's 1533-position model. The record is from RNAcentral.